RNAcentral lists this ribosomal RNA (429 nucleotides) under Bacteroidota bacterium. RNAcentral's name for it is "Bacteroidetes bacterium partial 16S ribosomal RNA". It matches the Rfam family "Bacterial small subunit ribosomal RNA", at positions 355 to 776 of the family's 1533-position model. Lineage: Bacteria; Pseudomonadati; Bacteroidota. The record is from RNAcentral.
UAGGGAAUCUUCGGCAAUGGGGGGAACCCUGACCGAGCAACGCCACGUGAGUGAAGAAGGUUUUCGGAUCGUAAAGCUCUGUUGUUAAGGAAGAACGAGUGUGAGAAUGGAAAGUUCAUGCUGUGACGGUACUUAACCAGAAAGGGACGGCUAACUACGUGCCAGCAGCCGCGGUAAUACGUAGGUCCCGAGCGUUGUCCGGAUUUAUUGGGCGUAAUGCGAGCGCAGGCGGUUAGAAAAGUCUGAAGUGAAAGGCAGUGGCUCAACCAUUGUAGGCUUUGGAAACUGUUUGAGUUGAGUGCAGAAGGGGAGAGUGGAAUUCCAUGUGUAGCGGUGAAAUGCGUAGAUAUAUGGAGGAACACCGGUGGCGAAAGCGGCUCUCUGGUCUGUAACUGACGCUGAGGCUCGAAAGCGUGGGGAGCGAACAGG